CGGUAGGCGGGACCGGGGUGGGUAAUGUCUUGGGAAACUGCCUGAUGGAGGGGGAUAACUACUGGAAACGGUAGCUAAUACCGCAUAACGUCGCAAGACCAAAGAGGGGGACCUUCGGGCCUCUUGCCAUCGGAUGUGCCCAGAUGGGAUUAGCUAGUAGGUGGGGUAACGGCUCACCUAGGCGACGAUCCCUAGCUGGUCUGAGAGGAUGACCAGCCACACUGGAACUGAGACACGGUCCAG
This 243-nucleotide ribosomal RNA is filed under the name uncultured bacterium. Its description in RNAcentral is "partial 16S ribosomal RNA". It matches the Rfam family "Bacterial small subunit ribosomal RNA", at positions 104 to 334 of the family's 1533-position model. The record is from RNAcentral.